UUUUAUAUCAUUUCUUUCUCUCUCCUCAAUCACUCUUUUAGUUUCUCCCAAACCCUCAAUCUCUUUUUUCAAUUUCUCUUCAUCUCCCCCAGAUCUGAUUGAAUCGCUCCAGUCAACUCUCUCGCGACCUAGCCCGGCGUUCCUUCUGCUCCGGUCAACUCUCUCGCAAAAUUUCUCCUUUAGAAGGAAAAGAGAAUAUUGAUAAGAUUUUGAAGAAGUUAAAAGAUGAAGGCCAUCAAGUCUCUGAAAAUUAUAAAACCUUUACACGUGUUUCUGUUCGACGACUUGGUCACCUCAUACUAGAUGCCCGCUGGGUCGUUGGGAUUCUAGUGAUCCAAAGUUAACUGUACAUGGAAAGCCUCUUGGACCAGACUUUAUGAGAGUAUGGGUUGAUGCUGAUAUUGUACAAGAAUCUUACUUAUUUCGUCCUAAUAAUGCGAUGCUUACAAUACAAGAAGCAGUUGGUUGACAGUUGCAUGGCCUUCUAAAAAAGUUAUUCCAAGAGAUGUGACAAGCGAAAUAGAAAAAGAUAUUUAAUUUUGAAGGCUUUGUGUUGGGCAACUGUAUAAUAUUUUGUGCUGAAAGUAGUAACUUUUCAAUAUGUUGAAUAUUUAAGACCACUUGAAUACUUAAAGAACAUUUUGUUGUUGAUGACAGUGUUGAAUGUUUUAAACUAAUUUGUGGAUUGUUAAUACAAUGUUGAAUGUUUUUACUUUUUGUUAUUUGAAAAUCAAGUUCAUUUGA
Long non-coding RNA from Humulus lupulus (European hop), 744 nucleotides. RefSeq lists it as uncharacterized. NCBI's taxonomy places the organism in Eukaryota, Viridiplantae, Streptophyta, Magnoliopsida, Rosales, Cannabaceae. The transcript has 4 exons. The record is from RefSeq and is a predicted model, not a curated record.